Molecule: ribosomal RNA, 119 nt
Filed under: Pteropus alecto (black flying fox)
Lineage: Eukaryota; Metazoa; Chordata; Mammalia; Chiroptera; Pteropodidae
Source: RNAcentral
GUCUAUGGCCAUGCCACCCUGAACGUGCCUGAUCCCAUCUGAUCUUGGAAGCGAAGCAGGGUCAGGCCUGGUUAGUACUUGUAUGGGAGAUCACCUAGGAAGACCAGGUGCUGUAGGUG